AGCAGUAGCCACGGGAAUACGUAGGUGGCAAGCGUUGCCCGGAAUUAUUGGGCGUAAAGGGCUCGCAGGCGGUUUCUUAAGUCUGAUGUGAAAGCCCCCGGCUCAACCGGGGAGGGUCAUUGGAAACUGGGAAACUUGAGUGCAGAAGAGGAGAGUGGAAUUCCACGUGUAGCGGUGAAAUGCGUAGAGAUGUGGAGGAACACCAGUGGCGAAGGCGACUCUCUGGUCUGUAACUGACGCUGAGGAGCGAAAGCGUGGGGAGCGAACAGGAUUAGAUACCCCUGUAGUCCCUGUCUCUUAUAC
This 303-nucleotide ribosomal RNA is filed under the name uncultured bacterium. Its description in RNAcentral is "partial 16S ribosomal RNA". It matches the Rfam family "Bacterial small subunit ribosomal RNA", at positions 507 to 807 of the family's 1533-position model. The record is from RNAcentral.